GCUACCACAACGACUGUCUUCUUUUAAACUCCUGACUCCUGUUGCCGUGUCUCAGUCACAUAGCUGAUAUGCCUGGUCUUGCCUGCCUCAAUCAUCCCGCCGCUCAAGUCAAAUCAAAGAGCUGCCCAGUGCGCGAUUGCACAACAGCUGCUCGCAAACUGCAAUAGAGCCACACGGUGCACAGCACACUCAAACAGGGGAAUCAGGCGGUGAAAGCCGACGGCGGCACUGCCGGUAAGGCCGCUGGCGGGCAGCAGUUGGCAAGCGCUGGAUUUUUGGUCCCAAUCGAAAUGCAGACCUGUUUCCCUGUUUGUGGAGGCAGUUAUAACUCAGUCUACUAGUGGGGCUCAUCCUGCAGAUACACUUUGUUUUCACUCGGGAAACACCUAUUUUUCAUCGGACUGGAAAAUCUCUGAAUGUCAUAUUGAUGCUGCUUGGAGAAGUCUGCAUGCAUGAAGCUUUCUAACAUUUCAUUGGUGACAUCAUGUUGUUCUUCUUCAGACUACAAACUAGAUAAGACUGAAUCAUCAACACCAGAGUGCAGCACUAUUGCUCAGUAAAAAAAACAAAAAAAAACAAAAAGAAUCUCCAAGGUAAAGUUGUGUAAUGUUUUGUUUUGUUUGUUGCAGGACAGGUUAAAAGAAAAGUUUAAAAUAAAUGACUUUUUUUUCUUUUGAAGAAUGGUCAACAUCUCA
Phyllopteryx taeniolatus (common seadragon) is the source of this 695-nucleotide long non-coding RNA. RefSeq lists it as uncharacterized. Lineage: Eukaryota; Metazoa; Chordata; Actinopteri; Syngnathiformes; Syngnathidae. The record is from RefSeq and is a predicted model, not a curated record. The transcript has 2 exons.